Chinchilla lanigera (long-tailed chinchilla) is the source of this 1278-nucleotide long non-coding RNA. RefSeq lists it as uncharacterized. The record is from RefSeq and is a predicted model, not a curated record. The transcript is spliced from 4 exons. Lineage: Eukaryota; Metazoa; Chordata; Mammalia; Rodentia; Chinchillidae.
ACUCGGUUCCCUCUGCCUCCUCGGGGCUCCCAGCUCUGGUCCUGAUACAGAAGAUUCCAGAGACAAAGCGUCCACCCCCUCACUGUCUUAAGCUCGGCAGAGAAUUAUAACGUGCACGUCGCUAUCUUUCUACGAAGUCUUAAGUGAAUCAUCUACUUGAAGAAUGCUUGUGUCCCCCGCGAGACUAGAGUUGAAAAUAUGUCGUGUGAAGCUUUUAAACAGAAGCCUCUCCUCACCCCGUACUAUUUCUGCUUGAAUUAAACUUCAGGGGAAAUCUGUGGCGACCUAAGUGCAGGAACUCGAACAUUCCAGGCAAGCACUCUGCUCCCGAGCCACACGUUAGUUCACGAUUCGCUGUUCUUUUGCUGCCAGAGACAGUCUCAACUGUGCAUUUUUUUCUCUGCUGAUUUCCACUGCUAAUAAGCAUGUAAACCUACUGUGAGUGUGUUUUACUUGUGUGAUCAACCAAAAUAAAAAAAGAAGGAGUCACUGACAAUAAAUCCAACAUGAAAACAGGUGCCUGGGCUCCAGACGCAGUCCACACGUCUGAGGAACACGAAGCCCUACCGGUGUGCAGAUCGGCUCCCCGUCUUGCUUGCUCGCCCACAUUCUCCAUUCUGGACCUUUGUAGCAUGCCUCGCCCCCCGCUGCCUGGAUGCGGGUGAUCGGGGCCUAUUUAUUCUUAGACUAGAAGUUGUCUGAGGCCAGGAGUCCUGUACAUGUCUGCACUCCUGUGUCAGCGCACAAACCUGGUCUGUGCAUCGGAGCGUGGAACCAGCUGCCAACCAGGAAUCUUGCACAUCGCCCAGUUCUCUAAAAGUCCCAGAGAGUGCGAAGCGGAGGGAUUUGGUGCCCGAAAUAGGAGCUUAUUCUAAGAGCCGUGUAGCAGGAAAGACAAAGAUAGCUCAGAGAGUGGAGAUUUCGCAAGAGGAGGAGGAAAGGAAGUAGGAGAAAGAGCAGAAGAGUGGGAGUGAGAGUGUGGGUACCGAGAAAGCAGAAGGCCGGCGUGCGCCGCGGCUGCCGGGGACUUGCAUGAGCUCAGCCUCCAACGCAGCUCUCCUGGACUUUUGUUCAUGCGUCUAAAUCUAGAUCAUCACGAAUGUUUUUCUGUGUUCGUUCUGCUGUGUUCUCAUCUCUGACCUUCAGGUUAAGCUCAGCUGUGCCAAGCUGAUUGGCUUGGGGAUCUGCCCAGGAAACCAGUAAAGUACACUUCUGAGUCACCUGAGUGAGUUACAAGGUGCGGCCUCGGGGGUCCAUCCUGCUCCCCGCCCCCUUCUC